This 24-nucleotide non-coding RNA is filed under the name Arabidopsis thaliana (thale cress). The record is from RNAcentral. Lineage: Eukaryota; Viridiplantae; Streptophyta; Magnoliopsida; Brassicales; Brassicaceae.
AGAGUCCAGCGUUGGGGGUGCUCU